This is a long non-coding RNA of Ornithodoros turicata, 585 nucleotides long. RefSeq lists it as uncharacterized. NCBI's taxonomy places the organism in Eukaryota, Metazoa, Arthropoda, Arachnida, Ixodida, Argasidae. The transcript is spliced from 3 exons. The record is from RefSeq and is a predicted model, not a curated record.
CACAUCUUACUGAUGCUGAAUUUACCGAUGCCGGAAAAAUUUUCAACUUUUUUCGAAAUGAAGCUUAACGCAGUCAUUCUUACUGGUACUAAGGAUAUAACCAAAGGGAGGAGCGCUAUGCGAACAAACUAUAAUUUGUCCGCGUUGCGUCACAAAUAGCCAUUUGUCGUCGACAAUCCUAAACAUUAGUUCCCCAUUUUUACAUAGACUCCAAGAGAAGCUAUGCCUGUUCUACAACAAUAGCGAGAGGAACAAUCGUGUCAAAACUGGCGCCCUACCAGGAGACAGACUGUCUCUGGAUAAAGUUUGUCAGCGUACGUUCGCACAUAUAAGGGGCUACAAUUUUACGUUCAAUAACGAAACGGGCCUUUCCGGACAUGGAUGUAAAAUCCCUUGUAUAAGCAACAAGGCCACUGUGGGGUAUAACACAUACUGGAGGAAUGGACACGCAAACGGACUGGACGGCUCCCGAUGUGACUCUGCGAACAAACUUAAGGUGUGCAUUCGAGGAGAGUGUAAACUGCACCGACGCUGCAAGGGCUGCUGGAAUCGUUCGGCACAGCCAAAAGCGCCUCCGACAACAAC